RNAcentral lists this ribosomal RNA (490 nucleotides) under Xylaria sp. IP-38. RNAcentral describes it as "eukaryotic LSU rRNA". The stretch from base 176 to 329 matches the Rfam family "5.8S ribosomal RNA". Lineage: Eukaryota; Fungi; Ascomycota; Sordariomycetes; Xylariales; Xylariaceae. The record is from RNAcentral.
AAGAGUGUAAUAACUCCCAAACCCAUGUGAACAUACCUCAUGUUGCCUCGGCAGGUCGCGCCCCCUCGUAGGCCCUACCCUGUAAGGCUUACCCGGAAGGCGCGGGUACUCCUGCCGGCGGCCCACGAAACUCUGUCUCAUCGUUGAAUUCUGAACCUAUAACUAAAUAAGUUAAAACUUUCAACAACGGAUCUCUUGGUUCUGGCAUCGAUGAAGAACGCAGCGAAAUGCGAUAAGUAAUGUGAAUUGCAGAAUUCAGUGAAUCAUCGAAUCUUUGAACGCACAUUGCGCCCAUUAGUAUUCUAGUGGGCAUGCCUGUUCGAGCGUCAUUUCAACCCUUAAGCCCUUGUUGCUUAGCGUUGGGAGCCUACGGCACCGUAGCUCCCCAAAGUCAGUGGCGGAGUCGGCUCACACUCUAGACGUAGUAAUUUCUCACCUCGCCUAUAGUUGGACCGGUCCCUUGCCGUAAAACGCCCUAAUUUUUAAAAGG